RNAcentral lists this microRNA precursor (154 nucleotides) under Amborella trichopoda. RNAcentral's name for it is "MIR8565 microRNA precursor family". It matches the Rfam family "MIR8565 microRNA precursor family". The record is from Rfam by way of RNAcentral. Lineage: Eukaryota; Viridiplantae; Streptophyta; Magnoliopsida; Amborellales; Amborellaceae.
CCCCCACCUAUGUGUGUAGGACCUUAAAGGAUCACCAUUAAAGUCGACACGUAUCUUUAGAAAAGUUAUCACAUGGGUGUGAAACUUGACUUUUUUAUAGAUCCGUGCCAAAUUUAAUGGUGAUCAUUUGGGGUCCUACACAUAUGGGUGGGGG